ACACAUUUNGAACACAUAUACACACACAGUUACAGUGAGAAUUCACCGCUCACAAAUUCCCCCAGAAGUCCUUUUGAUAUCACCAUUAAUCAGCAAAAAAAUCAAGAAAUCCCGCUGUAGCUCAAGAAACCAUAAUGGGUCAUUGAAAGAUUCCACAUUCUUCCAAGAUUUCUUCAAAAAUGACAAUGCUGCUAACUCAAAGAGAAAAAGCCCAGGAAAAUUUGCGAAUGCGAGAGAGAUUGAGAAUUAGGGAGAAGGGGUCACAGAGUUUUGGGUGCAUUCGUUUAGGGACGGGGUGCAUUUGGGGGUUUAGUUGGACAUUGAAGAGACGUUACGCUAACCAUAAUCAAGAAAAU
RNAcentral lists this long non-coding RNA (356 nucleotides) under Olea europaea subsp. europaea. Lineage: Eukaryota; Viridiplantae; Streptophyta; Magnoliopsida; Lamiales; Oleaceae. The record is from RNAcentral.